AUUGAACGCUGGCGGCAGGCCUAACACAUGCAAGUCGAGCGGUAGCACAGAGAGCUUGCUCUCGGGUGACGAGCGGCGGACGGGUGAGUAAUGUCUGGGAAACUGCCUGAUGGAGGGGGAUAACUACUGGAAACGGUAGCUAAUACCGCAUAAUGUCGCAAGACCAAAGUGGGGGACCUUCGGGCCUCAUGCCAUCAGAUGUGCCCAGAUGGGAUUAGCUAGUAGGUGGGGUAACGGCUCACCUAGGCGACGAUCCCUAGCUGGUCUGAGAGGAUGACCAGCCACACUGGAACUGAGACACGGUCCAGACUCCUACGGGAGGCAGCAGUGGGGAAUAUUGCACAAUGGGCGCAAGCCUGAUGCAGCCAUGCCGCGUGUGUGAAGAAGGCCUUCGGGUUGUAAAGCACUUUCAGCGGGGAGGAAGGCGGUGAGGUUAAUAACCUCAUCGAUUGACGUUACCCGCAGAAGAAGCACCGGCUAACUCCGUGCCAGCAGCCGCGGUAAUACGGAGGGUGCAAGCGUUAAUCGGAAUUACUGGGCGUAAAGCGCACGCAGGCGGUCUGUCAAGUCGGAUGUGAAAUCCCCGGGCUCAACCUGGGAACUGCAUUCGAAACUGGCAGGCUAGAGUCUUGUAGAGGGGGGUAGAAUUCCAGGUGUAGCGGUGAAAUGCGUAGAGAUCUGGAGGAGUACCGGUGGCGAAGGCGGCCCCCUGGACAAAGACUGACGCUCAGGUGCGAAAGCGUGGGGAGCAAACAGGAUUAGAUACCCUGGUAGUCCACGCCGUAAACGAUGUCGAUUUGGAGGUUGUGCCCUUGAGGCGUGGCUUCCGGAGCUAACGCGUUAAAUCGACCGCCUGGGGAGUACGGCCGCAAGGUUAAAACUCAAAUGAAUUGACGGGGGCCCGCACAAGCGGUGGAGCAUGUGGUUUAAUUCGAUGCAACGCGAAGAACCUUACCUGGUCUUGACAUCCACAGAACUUUCCAGAGAUGGGUUGGUGCCUUCGGGAACUGUGAGACAGGUGCUGCAUGGCUGUCGUCAGCUCGUGUUGUGAAAUGUUGGGUUAAGUCCCGCAACGAGCGCAACCCUUAUCCUUUGUUGCCAGCGGUCCGGCCGGGAACUCAAAGGAGACUGCCAGUGAUAAACUGGAGGAAGGUGGGGAUGACGUCAAGUCAUCAUGGCCCUUACGACCAGGGCUACACACGUGCUACAAUGGCAUAUACAAAGAGAAGCGACCUCGCGAGAGCAAGCGGACCUCAUAAAGUAUGUCGUAGUCCGGAUUGGAGUCUGCAACUCGACUCCAUGAAGUCGGAAUCGCUAGUAAUCGUAGAUCAGAAUGCUACGGUGAAUACGUUCCCGGGCCUUGUACACACCGCCCGUCACACCAUGGGAGUGGGUUGCAAAAGAAGUAGGUAGCUUAACCUUCGGGAGGGCGCUUACCACUUUGUGAUUCAUGACUGGGGUGA
Molecule: ribosomal RNA, 1463 nt
Filed under: uncultured Klebsiella sp.
Lineage: Bacteria; Pseudomonadati; Pseudomonadota; Gammaproteobacteria; Enterobacterales; Enterobacteriaceae
Description: bacterial SSU rRNA
Rfam family: Bacterial small subunit ribosomal RNA
Source: RNAcentral